RNAcentral lists this ribosomal RNA (501 nucleotides) under uncultured bacterium. RNAcentral's name for it is "bacterial SSU rRNA". It matches the Rfam family "Bacterial small subunit ribosomal RNA", at positions 29 to 523 of the family's 1533-position model. The record is from RNAcentral.
AUUGAACGCUGGCGGCGUGCCUAACACAUGCAAGUCGAGCGGUAACAGGUGUAGCAAUACAUGCUGACGAGCGGCGGACGGGUGAGUAACGCUUGGGAAUCUGCCUGUUAGUGGGGGACAACCCGGGGAAACUCGGGCUAAUACCGCAUACGCACUACGGUGGAAAGCCGGGGACCGCAAGGCCUGGCGCUAACAGAUGAGCCCAAGUCGGAUUAGCUAGUUGGUAGGGUAACGGCCACCAAGGCGACGAUCCGUAACUGGUCUGAGAGGACGACCAGUCACACCGGAACUGAGACACGGUCCGGACUCCUACGGGAGGCAGCAGUGGGGAAUAUUGGACAAUGGGCGAAAGCCUGAUCCAGCGACGCCGCGUGGGUGAAGAAGGCCUGCGGGUUGUAAAGCCCUUUCGGUGGGGAAGAAAGACCUCGAGUUAAUACCUCGGGGUCUUGACGUAACCCAUAGAAGAAGCACCGGCUAACUCUGUGCCAGCAGCCGCGGUAA